GCACACAGACACGGGGGUGAGGGGUACACCUGGAGAGGCCAUAGGAGCUCGGAGCCUUUCCCACAUACCUUGCCCUAUGCAUUUAUUCCAUCUGGCUAUUGCUGAGUUAUGGUUAAACUGGUAAUCUAAUAAAAUCUUUCCCCCACAUCUUCCUCAUCCUGCCCAAGAUUUCCUGUCUCCCAAUUCCAGUCUCCAUCGGUCCUAGGCAGAGCAAUCUCCCUCUCCUCCAGCAUCUCCACACCCAAUAUCAAUAUCACCUUUAAGAAUCUGAAAGAUGAUUAGACUGAACACUCAAUGCAUGUACUUAGUGAACAGAAAGGUCCCCAGCUACCAAAGAGAUGAGACAGCUACAUGGAGCACUUCAUUUGGAUAUGUCUGAAAUCUUGAAAACUUGACCACCCUACGUUGUCCUGCAAAUAGACCUGGAGAGCUUGUGUGGACGUUCUAGUGGGAGAGUGCAGCUACUCCUCUACCCUUGACCAAAGAACAGUCGCCCUCUCCGAGAGUGCAUGGCUUCGAGAGCACCCAUCUUGGGAUGUAUUAUGGAAGUGAAGGGGCACCAGACUAAGAAGACUCCUCGGAUAAGCAUGUGACCAGCCUUGGAAUUUAAGGUUGAACUUGCAGAGAACGUAAUAUCUAAGUGUGAUUCAGCUGUAAAUCAUAGAAACCCUGACUUAAGGGGGAGAGGGUCUUAUUAUCUCAAAAGUGAAAAAGUGGGUCCAGAAGCCCUAUAAUA
Molecule: long non-coding RNA, 736 nt
Organism: Suricata suricatta (meerkat)
Lineage: Eukaryota; Metazoa; Chordata; Mammalia; Carnivora; Herpestidae
Exons: 4
Source: RefSeq, a predicted model, not a curated record